AACGCGAAGAACCUUACCAAAUCUUGACAUCCUUUGACAACUCUAGAGAUAGAGCUUUCCCCUUCGGGGGACAAAGUGACAGGUGGUGCAUGGUUGUCGUCAGCUCGUGUCGUGAGAUGUUGGGUUAAGUCCCGCAACGAGCGCAACCCUUAUCUUUAGUUGCCAUCAUUAGGUUGGGCACUCUAGAGAGACUGCCGGUGACAAACCGGAGGAAGGUGGGGAUGACGUCAAAUCAUCAUGCCCCUUAUGAUUUGGGCUACACACGUGCUACAAUGGAUGGUACAAAGGGCAACAAAACCGCGAGGUCAAGCAAAUCCCAUAAAACCAUUCUCAGUUCGGAUUGUAGUCUGCAACUUGACUACAUGAAGCUGGAAUCGCUAGUAAUCGUAGAUCAGCAUGCUACGGUGAAUACGUUCCCGGGUCUUGUACACACGC
RNAcentral lists this ribosomal RNA (435 nucleotides) under uncultured bacterium. RNAcentral describes it as "bacterial SSU rRNA". It matches the Rfam family "Bacterial small subunit ribosomal RNA", at positions 958 to 1393 of the family's 1533-position model. The record is from RNAcentral.